This 207-nucleotide ribosomal RNA is filed under the name uncultured bacterium. RNAcentral describes it as "partial 16S ribosomal RNA". It matches the Rfam family "Bacterial small subunit ribosomal RNA", at positions 568 to 774 of the family's 1533-position model. The record is from RNAcentral.
CACGUAGGCGGAUAUUUAAGUCAGGGGUGAAAUCCCAGAGCUCAACUCUGGAACUGCCUUUGAUACUGGGUAUCUUGAGUAUGGAAGAGGUAAGUGGAAUUCCGAGUGUAGAGGUGAAAUUCGUAGAUAUUCGGAGGAACACCAGUGGCGAAGGCGGCUUACUGGUCCAUUACUGACGCUGAGGUGCGAAAGCGUGGGGAGCAAGCA